RNAcentral lists this ribosomal RNA (486 nucleotides) under uncultured bacterium. Its description in RNAcentral is "partial 16S ribosomal RNA". It matches the Rfam family "Bacterial small subunit ribosomal RNA", at positions 29 to 507 of the family's 1533-position model. The record is from RNAcentral.
AUGAACGCUAGCGAUAGGCUUAACACAUGCAAGUCGAGGGGCAGCACAAGGUAGCUUGCUAUCUGGGUGGCGACCGGCGCACGGGUGCGUAACGCGUAUGCAACUUGCCCUAUACAGGAGGAUAACCCGUCGAAAGACGGACUAAUACUGCGUAUGCUCACAACUUGGCAUCAAGUGGUGAGGAAAGAAAUUCGGUAUAGGAUAGGCAUGCGUCCCAUUAGCUUGUUGGUGAGGUAACGGCUCACCAAGGCAACGAUGGGUAGGGGAACUGAGAGGUUUAUCCCCCACACUGGUACUGAGACAUGGACCAGACUCCUACGGGAGGCAGCAGUGAGGAAUAUUGGUCAAUGGGCGCGAGCCUGAACCAGCCAAGUCGCGUGAAGGAUGACUGUCUUAUGGAUUGUAAACUUCUUUUAUACGGGAAUAACAAGAGUCACGUGUGACUCCCUGCAUGUACCGUAUGAAUAAGCAUCGGCUAACUCCGUG